GGCCAGACUCCUACGGGAGGCAGCAGUGAGGAAUAUUGGUCAAUGGUCGGGAGACUGAACCAGCCAAGCCGCGUGAGGGAGGAAGGUACAGCGUAUCGUAAACCUCUUUUGUCAGGGAACAAAGGCGGGGACUAGUCCCCGGAUGAGGGUACCUCAAGAAAAAGCAUCGGCUAACUCCGUGCCAGCAGCCGCGGUAAUACGGAGGAUGCGAGCGUUAUCCGGAUUUAUUGGGUUUAAAGGGUGCGCAGGCGGGGCUGUAAGGUGGGGGGAAAAGGCCGGGGGCUAAACCCGGGCGAGCCGUUGAAACUGGCGGGCUGGAGUUGGAGAGAAGUACGCGGAAUGCGUGGUGUAGCGGUGAAAUGCAUAGAUAUCACGCAGAACUCCGAUUGCGAAGGCAGCGCACCGGCGCCCUACUGACGCUCAGGCACGAAAGCGUGGGUAUCGAACAGGAUUAGAUACCCCCGUA
Molecule: ribosomal RNA, 466 nt
Filed under: uncultured bacterium
Lineage: Bacteria
Description: bacterial SSU rRNA
Rfam family: Bacterial small subunit ribosomal RNA
Source: RNAcentral